This 599-nucleotide ribosomal RNA is filed under the name Pseudozyma hubeiensis. Its description in RNAcentral is "partial large subunit ribosomal RNA". It matches the Rfam family "Eukaryotic large subunit ribosomal RNA", at positions 75 to 655 of the family's 3401-position model. Lineage: Eukaryota; Fungi; Basidiomycota; Ustilaginomycetes; Ustilaginales; Ustilaginaceae. The record is from RNAcentral.
UUCCCCUAGUAACGGCGAGUGAAGAGGGAAGAGCCCAAGAUUGAAAGCUGGCGCCUUCGGCGUCCGCAUUGUAAUCUCAAGAAGUGUUUUCCGCUUCGGACCAUGCCUAAGUCCCUUGGAAAAGGGCAUCAUAGAGGGUGAUAAUCCCGUACAUGGCAUGGAGCGCCCGAAGCUUUGUGAUACGCUUUCUAAGAGUCGAGUUGUUUGGGAAUGCAGCUCAAAAUGGGUGGUAAAUGCCAUCUAAGGCUAAAUAUUGGGGAGAGACCGAUAGCGAACAAGUACAGUGAUGGAAAGAUGAAAAGAACUUUGAAAAGAGAGUUAAACAGUACGUGAAAUUGCCAAAAGGGAAGGGUAGGAGGUCAGAGAUGCGUCGCAGGAUUCAGCCUUGCUUUUGCUUGGUGUUUUUCCUGCGUUGCAGGCCAACGUCGGUUUUGGGCACUGGAGAAGGGUAGGAGGAACGUGGCACCUCUCGGGGUGUGUUAUAGCCUCCUACUGGAUACAGCGACCGAGACCGAGGAACGCAGCGUACUCGUAAGAGCGGGCCUUUUGGCACCUUUACGCUUAGGGCGUUGGCAUAAUGGCCCUCUACCACCCGUCUU